Long non-coding RNA from Molossus molossus (Pallas's mastiff bat), 334 nucleotides. RefSeq lists it as uncharacterized. NCBI's taxonomy places the organism in Eukaryota, Metazoa, Chordata, Mammalia, Chiroptera, Molossidae. The record is from RefSeq and is a predicted model, not a curated record. The transcript has 3 exons.
ACUGAAAUUACUUUAGUGGGUGGCGUGAGCCAUACUGUGAGCAACCCUAUGGUGAGUCUUAUAAGGAGAUGAACUGAAGUCUCUCCUGUAAACAGCCAAAUGAAUGAAAUUGGAAGAAGAUACUCCAGAUCAGUCAAAUCCCAGAUGACUGCAACCCUACCUGACCCCUUGAUCGCUGCCAAGUGAAAAAUUGCACCAGAAAUAUCCAGAUGAGCCAUUCUCAGAUUUCUGGCUCAAAGAACAUGUGCAUUCUUAGAAUUUCAUUCAUAUCCUUCAAGAUAUGGCAAAGGAAGAAAAAUCUUUUCGUGAACACCUCUGAAUGUGGCUCAUAAUG